RNAcentral lists this ribosomal RNA (434 nucleotides) under uncultured Lachnospiraceae bacterium. RNAcentral's name for it is "partial 16S ribosomal RNA". It matches the Rfam family "Bacterial small subunit ribosomal RNA", at positions 341 to 792 of the family's 1533-position model. The record is from RNAcentral. Lineage: Bacteria; Bacillati; Bacillota; Clostridia; Lachnospirales; Lachnospiraceae.
ACGGGAGGCAGCAGUGGGGAAUAUUGGGCAAUGGGGGAAACCCUGAUCCAGCGACGCCGCGUGAGUGAAGAAGUAUUUCGGUAUGUAAAGCUCUUUAAGCAGGAAAGAAAAUGACGGUACCUGCAGAAUAAGCCCCGGCUAACUACGUGCCAGCAGCCGCGGUAAUACGUAGGGGGCAAGCGUUAUCCGGAUUUACUGGGUGUAAAGGGAGCGUAGACGGCGAUGCAAGUCUGAUGUGAAAUGCGGGGGCUCAACUCCUGAACUGCAUUGGAAACUGUAUUGCUGGAGUGCCGGAGAGGUAAGCGGAAUUCCUAGUGUAGCGGUGAAAUGCGUAGAUAUUAGGAGGAACACCAGUGGCGAAGGCGGCUUACUGGACGGUAACUGACGUUGAGGCUCGAAAGCGUGGGGAGCAAACAGGAUUAGAUACCCUGGUA